Molecule: non-coding RNA, 514 nt
Organism: Cinara cedri
Lineage: Eukaryota; Metazoa; Arthropoda; Insecta; Hemiptera; Aphididae
Source: the annotation of a GenBank genome assembly
CCCGAAGAAAACAAUAAAAAACCUUAUAUUAUACGACAUUAUAAUUUAUUAUUUUAUAAUAUUUUAAUAUAAUAAUAUGCACAGAGUGAAUUUUUUUUAUAAUUUUUUUUUUUUUAAACUCGGUUUUCUCAAUCGAAUUUCACAUACCUUUUUUCUAUUAUCUUUACUAUAGUAUAUAUAUAUAUAUUUAUUUAUAACAGGUCAGUGGCGUAUUUACAGGGGGGUAAUAUGGGGCAAAUCAACUCCUUGAGCUGUUUUUUCUCUACUGAAAUAUACCAAUGAAAUUUUUGUUGAUUUUAUUUUUGCGAUUUAGAACAAGCUUAAUAUGUAUUGGUGACAUACGACCAAUGAAGUUUUAAUGUCAAGAAUACACCCAAGAUUUUUAUUAUUAUUUUUUUUUUUUUGGUGGGAGGAGGCUAAAUAAAAUUAUUUUUAAUUACGUAUAAAAACUGAAAGCAUGGUAUGAACUUUUACUCACUUGUUCAUGAAAUAAAUUUAAAUAAAUAAUUAAUUU